Urocitellus parryii (Arctic ground squirrel) is the source of this 344-nucleotide long non-coding RNA. RefSeq lists it as uncharacterized. Lineage: Eukaryota; Metazoa; Chordata; Mammalia; Rodentia; Sciuridae. The record is from RefSeq and is a predicted model, not a curated record.
UCAGGUUGCUCCUGGAGCUGUGCUGGUGACCCCAUAAGCACUUGGCUUCUUGCCUCCACGUGGGAGUCACAGCCUAAAAUGGAUAGAUGGAUGCCGAGCACUAGAGGACAGAUGGACCCCAGCCCUUACUGGUCCAAGGCAUGAGCCCAUGAAUGAUCCUGGAGGACUUUCCUCAGCCUCAAGUUUGCGGUACCAGAGUCUGAUGCAAGUCUCCACCCCAGAGGCAGGCCUGACCACGGCUCCUGAGGAUGCUGUGCACAGGAAGCUGAGGCAGGCAAUCCUAUGUGAAUGUCAAGCACACAAGCUAGACAGAAGAAAGAACUUCCAUAGGGCAUCAAUACUGU